Non-coding RNA from Paramisgurnus dabryanus, 3200 nucleotides. NCBI's taxonomy places the organism in Eukaryota, Metazoa, Chordata, Actinopteri, Cypriniformes, Cobitidae. The record is from RefSeq and is a predicted model, not a curated record.
UUAAUCGUGACAAUAAGUUGUGUUUGGAACAUUCGAAUGUAACGUUAUAAGGUAGCAGUCUUAGGAUGGUAAAUUAUAUAAGUCAUUAAACAAAUAACUUUGUUGCACCACAUAUGCAUAGGCUAAUAGCAAAAGUAGCUAAUUAAACUAUUUUUUGUCGCAAAUAAGUUGAUAAUGCAAGAUACAGGGAAAUGCAAGAUUUUCAGUAGCGAUAUGUUACCUAUAUUACACUAGCUCGCAACAAUUAAGCCUCUUUUAGCCAACAUGAUCAGAUGAAGAACAGUGUUGCCAGAUUGGUUUGUUUUCCAGCCCAGUAAUUACUUAAAAUCCACACAAAAUUAUACAAUAAACUCCCAGAAUGAUCUAUAAUAAACAAUACAACUUAAUUCAUACCAGCACUACUUUUGUGGCUUGUCAUGUUUUAAUAUGAAAUAAUAAAUAAUUUAAGUGCUCUUUCAGAUAUUAUAUAGGAGCCUACGAUAGACACUGCGAAUGUAAAAUUAUUUUCCAUUUCUGUACUUUCCCUUAAAAUAGCAAAAUUUCACCUGCCCAAGCCCAUUUUAAUACACAUAGUACAACCCAGAACCAACUAAAUGGGUGGAAAACAUUCUGCCUGACAAGACUGAUGGAGAAUACUGGUGAAAAUGUAAUGCUCUUUAUCUCCUACAGCACACACACACACACACACACACACACACACACACACACACACUGGGGGAAAUCUGUCCUUAAAAGCAAAUGCUGGUCGUAUGAUCUGUAUCCACACAUCCAUCCAGUAAAACCUUUCAUAGAAACUGCCAGUAAACAAUAAAUACGAUAAUUGUUUAUAAACAAAUAAUAUUAUGCUCAUAAAAAUAUGCCAAUUUAGCUGUUUUAUUUAUUCUGCUAUAUAUUAUUACAAAAAUGUGAUUACAGUACAGAAUAUAUAUGACAUAAACUGCUUCACGUUCACAAGGUCACGUUCUUUCUGAUCCCAUUUUUAAACCCUAGUUAGUGUGUAAUGUUGCUUUCAUAGCAUAAAUAAUACCUGUAAAAUGAUAAAGCUGAAAGUUCACUGCCAGUCGAUUUAUUUUCUUUAACAGAAUUUGCCUUUCAAAGCCUACAGCGAACGGCCGGUUUGGACUUCAGCCCUCUACUUUCUGCUUUAAUGAUGUCACUAGAACAGUUUUUUGACUAAACUCCGCCCACAGGAAUACAUCAGUGGCCAGCUAAGCUAACGGUGCGAGCCAAGCCAAUUUUAUUUAUUGGGAAACAGGAUAAAAAGGCUUCGAAUAAGUGGGUUGCAUAUAUUAUUACCCAUUGGCACCCCACUCCUGUCACUACAAUUUUUUGGAGGAGAUGCGGAGGGCUUUAUCUUGACAAAAGCAACCUCCACAGGACAGCAGCCUGAGAGCCUUGCCAUGGAGCGGCCUGAGAGCCCUGCUGUGAAAUGGCCGGAGAACCUCACCAAGAAGUCUAAGGCAAUAUUUGUACUAAAUCUUGUUCAGCUGUCUUCUAGACUCUCUCCAACCUCUCUUGCUCCUACAACCUCUACUGCUUUUACAACAAUUUUCUCUCCACUUUUUUUCCCCACCUCCACUGCCAUGCUCUAAGUUUUUGCCACAGAGGAAGAGGAAGAUAAAGAAAUCUACCUCUUCCCACUAUACCACACUUGUCUCUCUUCAAUUUGCAUCUGUCUCUUCCAGUUCUAAAUCUCAGAAGUGGCCACUGGUGAAGAACAGAAUAAAGGAUAACUUUUCCUGUUACAUCUUACUCCACAAUUUGCUCCUAGUCAAAUAUGUCUUCAUGUUAAUUAAAUUCAUUUAGCUAACCAGGUAUUUGUUAGCCAGUUCACAGUGUUUUAGAGCCCAAUGUCCAAGGACUGUGGUCAAUGUAAAUUCCUGACUUAAAUGGACACUUCACUUUUUUUUGCUAAUUUUCCAGCAGUAAGUUUUACCGUUUUAGAAUCCAUUCAGCUGAUCUCCGCGUCUGGCACUACCUUUUUUAGCAUAGCUUAGCAUAAUACAUUGAAUCUGAUUAGGCCAUUAGCAUCACGCCAAAAAAUAACCAAAGAGUUUCGAUAUUUUUCCUAUUUAAAACUUGACUCUUCUGUAGUGACAUCGUGUACUAAGACAGACGGAAAAUUAAAAGUUGUGAUUUUCUCAGCUGAUAUUUCUAGGAACUAUACUCUUAUUCUGUCGUAAUAAUCAAGGACUUUGCUGUCGUAACAUGGCUGCAGAAGGCAUAAUGAUAUAACGCAGUGCCCGAAAAUAGUCCCCUUAGUAUCUUUCAAUAGCAGGGGACUUUUUUCGGGCACUGCGUAAUAUCAUUUUGGUUGAUUGACAAAAACAAGCACAAAUUUGUUUGACACUAAUGGAAAGGACUGCAUAUCACUUCACAUAAAUAUGGACUCAUGUGAUUCACCUACAAAGUAGUGCUGGGCGAUUUGGCCUAAAAAUAAAAUCUCAGAUUUUAUUUUUUUUAAUUCGACUUCCGAUUUUUUCCGAUUUUCCCCCCCCACUUGUUAAGAAAAGCAAUAAGUACAAACGGCAGACAACUUAAAGCAAAUUUAGCUUUUAUUUAAUCAAAAGCAAGACAAAUGAUUUUAUUCCUUUCUUUGGAACAAACUUCCCACUCUCGCCGGUAGCCAUGUUGUCACUUGCUGUUGCCGUUUCGUGUGUUUGUGCUAUGAUGAUGAUGUUGUCGCUUGCUGAUGCUGUUUCACGUGUGCUAUGAUGUUGCUGAUGUUGCUAUAAUAACGCUACGGAAGCCCCGGGCAGCCAAAAAUGCGCCAUUACAAAAAAAUCGAAUUACUUAUUUUUUAAAUCGCCCACAACAAAAAAUUCGAAUUAAUUCAUUAAAUCGAUUUUUCGCCCAGGCCUACUACAAAGCAUGGCAUUCAUGGCUUAAUAAACUUUUUGUCUUUUCAUCAUUUCAGGUUGCUGAAAAUGUAGAUGGCAGAAGGUUUCCUUUUCGAUAAAAUAACUGAGGAACAGAUAAAUGAGAGGAAAGCCGAAUUGAAAGUUCACUGGUUACGUGCUCUGUGUGUGGAAAAACCUGGGAUGACACAUAGGAGCCUGCCAGCAAAUUCCAACACAAGUCCCCACAUCCCAACCAGUUUUCAGCAUGACAGCCUACACCUUUACAUUAUCAAGCACCCUUCAACUGUUUAAUUUUGAGUGUCUUUGCUUGCUGUUCUUUAUUAAAGUUUUUGCACAGUA